GACAGAGGGUGCAAGCGUUGUUCGGAAUUACUGGGCGUAAAGCGCGUGUAGGCGGCUCGGCAAGUCGGGUGUGAAAGCCCUGGGCUUAACCCAGGAAGUGCACUCGAAACUUCCGAGCUGGAGUCCUGGAGAGGAAGGCGGAAUUCUCGGUGUAGAGGUGAAAUUCGUAGAUAUCGAGAGGAACACCGGUGGCGAAGGCGGCCUUCUGGACAGUGACUGACGCUGAGACGCGAAAGCGUGGGGAGCAAACAGG
Molecule: ribosomal RNA, 253 nt
Filed under: uncultured bacterium
Lineage: Bacteria
Description: partial 16S ribosomal RNA
Rfam family: Bacterial small subunit ribosomal RNA
Source: RNAcentral